GUUCUUGCUUUGGAAGUACAUAUACAAAAAUUGGAAUGACACAGAGAAGAUCAGCAUGGCUCCUGCACAAUAAUAACAUGCAAAUUCAUGAAACAUUUCAUAUUUUU
This is a small nuclear RNA of Cynocephalus volans (Philippine flying lemur), 107 nucleotides long. Lineage: Eukaryota; Metazoa; Chordata; Mammalia; Dermoptera; Cynocephalidae. The record is from RefSeq and is a predicted model, not a curated record.